This 636-nucleotide long non-coding RNA is filed under the name Homo sapiens (human). Its description in RNAcentral is "non-protein coding lnc-HDAC10-1:1". Lineage: Eukaryota; Metazoa; Chordata; Mammalia; Primates; Hominidae. The record is from RNAcentral.
UUGAUUACCAGUUGUCUUUCUCAGGAAUUACGUAUGGAAAUUGCAAAACAAGAAUUAAUCGCUCAUGCCCGGGAAGCAGCAUCCAGGGUCCUGAGUGCACUGAGUACCGGCAGAUGUCAGAACGGAUGGCCUUGGAUGCCCGGAAGCGUGAGCAGUUUCAGAGGCUGAAAGAACAAUUUGUGAAGGACCAGGACGACGCCAGGCGGCCAGGCAGGAGGAGCUGGAUGAUGACUUCAGCUACGCCCGUGAACUCCGAGACAGGGAGAGAAGGCUGAAGUCCCUGGAGGAGGAGCUGGAGAGGAAGGCGAGCAGGCACUGGUCGACCACUACAGCAAGCUCUCUGCAGAGGCAGCUCGUCGGGAGCAGAAGGCACUGUGGAGAAUCCAGAGGCACCGACUGGAGAGUGCACGGCUUCGUUUUCUCUUAGAAGAUGAGAAACACAUUCAGAGAUGCUGAAAGCAGUGUCUGAGGCUCACCAGCCCCAGGAGCCGCCAGACGUCCUCUUGAGCGUGCACCCCCAGUCACGUCUCCGGGCCCUGAGCACCCAGAGGGAGGCCAAGGCUGUGAUUCUGGGUCUGCAGAGCAACACUCGCCUGCCUGGGAUGGCUGGAACAGGCCAGGCCUGCUGACCCCACA